RNAcentral lists this ribosomal RNA (301 nucleotides) under uncultured bacterium. RNAcentral describes it as "partial 16S ribosomal RNA". It matches the Rfam family "Bacterial small subunit ribosomal RNA", at positions 509 to 807 of the family's 1533-position model. The record is from RNAcentral.
CAGCAGCCGCGGGAAUACGAAGGGUGCAAGCGUUAAUCGGAAUUACUGGGCGUAAAGCGUGCGUAGGCGGUUUGUUAAGUCUGUUGUGAAAUCCCCGGGCUCAACCUGGGAAUGGCAAUGGAUACUGGCAAGCUAGAGUGUGUCAGAGGAUGGUGGAAUUCCCGGUGUAGCGGUGAAAUGCGUAGAGAUCGGGAGGAACAUCAGUGGCGAAGGCGGCCAUCUGGGACAACACUGACGCUGAGGCACGAAAGCGUGGGGAGCAAACGGGAUUAGAUACCCGAGUAGUCCCUGUCUCUUAUAC